Molecule: ribosomal RNA, 493 nt
Filed under: uncultured bacterium
Lineage: Bacteria
Description: partial 16S ribosomal RNA
Rfam family: Bacterial small subunit ribosomal RNA
Source: RNAcentral
AUUGAACGCUGGCGGCAUGCUUUACACAUGCAAGUCGAACGGUAACAGGUUAAGCUGACGAGUGGCGAACGGGUGAGUAAUGCAUCGGAACGUGCCCGAUCGUGGGGGAUAACGCAGCGAAAGCUGCGCUAAUACCGCAUACGAUCUGAGGAUGAAAGCGGGGGACCGUAAGGCCUCGCGCGAUCGGAGCGGCCGAUGUCAGAUUAGGGAGUUGGUGGGGUAAAGGCCCACAAAGCCGACGAUCUGUAGCUGGUCUAAGAGGACGACCAGCCACACUGGGACUGGGAGACGGCCCAGACUCCGACGGGAGGCAGCAGUGGGGAAUUUUGGACAAUGGGCGAAAGCCUGAUCCAGCAAUGCCGCGUGCAGGAAGAAGGCCUUCGGGUUGUAAAGCACUUUAGGUCGGGAGGAAGGUUCGCUGGCUAAUAUCCAGCGGAAUUGACGUUACCGACAGAAUAAGCACCGGCUAACUCCGUGCCAGCCGCCGCAGUAA